UGGGGAAUUUUGGACAAUGGGCGCAAGCCUGAUCCAGCCAUGCCGCGUGCAGGAUGAAGGCCUUCGGGUUGUAAACUGCUUUUGUACGGAACGAAAUGACUCUGGUUAAUACCUGGGGUCCAUGACGGUACCGUAAGAAUAAGCACCGGCUAACUACGUGCCAGCAGCCGCGGUAAUACGUAGGGUGCGACGUUUAAUCGGAAUUACUGGGCGUAAAGCGUGCGCAGGCCGGUUAUAUAAGACAGAUGUGAAAUGCCCGGGCUCAACCUGGGAACUGCAAUUGUGACUGUAUAGCUAGAGUACGGCAGAGGGGGAUGGAAUUCCGCGUGUAGCAGUGAAAUGCGUAGAUAUGCGGAGGAACACCGAUGGCGAAGGCAAUGCCCUGGGCCUGUACUGACGCUCAUGCACGAAAGCGUGGGGAGCAAACAGGAUUAGAUACCCUGGUAGUCCACGCCCUAAACGAUUCAACUGGUUGUUGGGUCUUCACUGACUCAGUAACGAAGCUAACGCGUGAAGUUGACCGCCUGGGGAGUACGGCCGCAAGGUUG
RNAcentral lists this ribosomal RNA (548 nucleotides) under uncultured Acidovorax sp. RNAcentral's name for it is "bacterial SSU rRNA". It matches the Rfam family "Bacterial small subunit ribosomal RNA", at positions 355 to 896 of the family's 1533-position model. Lineage: Bacteria; Pseudomonadati; Pseudomonadota; Betaproteobacteria; Burkholderiales; Comamonadaceae. The record is from RNAcentral.